CCUACGGGAGGCAGCAGUGAGGAAUAUUGGUCAAUGGGCGCGAGCCUGAACCAGCCAAGUCGCGUGAGGGAGGACGGCCCUACGGGUUGUAAACCUCUUUUGCCGGGGAGCAACGGGCGUCACGUGUGGCGCCACUGAGAGUACCCGGAGAAAAAGCAUCGGCUAACUCCGUGCCAGCAGCCGCGGUAAUACGGAGGAUGCGAGCGUUAUCCGGAUUUAUUGGGUUGAAAGGGUGCGUAGGCGGUCUGUGAAGUCAGCGGUCAAAGCCCGGGGCCCAACCCCGGCCCGCCGUUGAAACUGGCAGUCUCGAGUUGGAGAGAAGUAUGCGGAAUGCGCGGUGUAGCGGUGAAAUGCAUAGAUAUCGCGCAGAACUCCGAUUGCGAAGGCAGCAUGCCGGCUCCACACUGACGCUGAGGCACGAAAGCGUGGGUAUCGAACAGGAUUAGAUACCCGAGUAGUC
This 460-nucleotide ribosomal RNA is filed under the name uncultured bacterium. Its description in RNAcentral is "partial 16S ribosomal RNA". It matches the Rfam family "Bacterial small subunit ribosomal RNA", at positions 338 to 795 of the family's 1533-position model. The record is from RNAcentral.